Molecule: ribosomal RNA, 491 nt
Filed under: uncultured bacterium
Lineage: Bacteria
Description: partial 16S ribosomal RNA
Rfam family: Bacterial small subunit ribosomal RNA
Source: RNAcentral
AGUGAACGCUGGCGGUAGGCCUAACACAUGCAAGUCGAACGGCAGCACAGUAAGAGCUUGCUCUUACGGGUGGCGAGUGGCGGACGGGUGAGGAAUACAUCGGAAUCUACUUUUUCGUGGGGGAUAACGUAGGGAAACUUACGCUAAUACCGCAUACGACCUACGGGUGAAAGCAGGGGAUCUUCGGACCUUGCGCGAUUGAAUGAGCCGAUGUCGGAUUAGCUAGUUGGCGGGGUAAAGGCCCACCGAGGCGACGAUCCGUAGCUGGUCUGAGAGGAUGAUCAGCCACACUGGAACUGAGACACGGUCCAGACUCCUACGGGAGGCAGCAGUGGGGAAUAUUGGACAAUGGGCGCAAGCCUGAUCCAGCCAUACCGCGUGGGUGAAGAAGGCCUUCGGGUUGUAAAGCCCUUUUGUUGGGAAAGAAAAGCAGCAGGUUAAUACCCCGCUGUUCUGACGGUACCCAAAGAAUAAGCACCGGCGAACUUCGU